This 342-nucleotide long non-coding RNA is filed under the name Lathyrus oleraceus (garden pea). Its description in RNAcentral is "Pisum sativum (pea) long non-coding RNA (PSAT_LNC035580)". Lineage: Eukaryota; Viridiplantae; Streptophyta; Magnoliopsida; Fabales; Fabaceae. The record is from RNAcentral.
AGUGAAUAAAUAAAUAGAUAAAAAAGUUAUUUAAAUAAUAUAAUGAGAUGAUGAAAACUAUUUAGAAAAUAACUAUUCAUAUUAAUCUAUUUAAUACCGGUGAUCAAAUAUUUAAUUAAUAACGACCGAAAUAAAUAAAUAAAUAUUAGUAUGAAACAAAAAAAGUACAAAAAAGAAAAGAAAAAUAAAAUUCUUUUUUAUGAUUUUAUUAUUAUCAUUUUAUAACUUUAUUAGAUAAAAAAUGAUCCUAAUAUCUAAAAUAAAAUAAAAAUGGGCUCGGGGUGUGUUUGUGAGGAGACAGGGGGUAUGGCCCUAAAUUAGAGAGGGGGAGUGACCCAAAAU